RNAcentral lists this ribosomal RNA (490 nucleotides) under uncultured bacterium. RNAcentral describes it as "bacterial SSU rRNA". It matches the Rfam family "Bacterial small subunit ribosomal RNA", at positions 488 to 977 of the family's 1533-position model. The record is from RNAcentral.
AGCGCCGGCUAACUCUGUGCCAGCAGCCGCGGUAAUACAGAGGGUGCAAGCGUUAAUCGGAUUUACUGGGCGUAAAGCGCGCGUAGGCGGCUAAUUAAGUCAAAUGUGAAAUCCUCGAGCUUAACUUGGGAAUUGCAUUCGAUACUGGUUAGCUAGAGUGUGGGAGAGGAUGGUAGAAUUCCAGGUGUAGCGGUGAAAUGCGUAGAGAUCUGGAGGAAUACCGAUGGCGAAGGCAGCCAUCUGGCCUAACACUGACGCUGAGGUGCGAAAGCAUGGGGAGCAAACAGGAUUAGAUACCCUGGUAGUCCAUGCCGUAAACGAUGUCUACUNAGCCGUUGGGGCCUUUGAGGCUUUAGUGGCGCAGCUAACGCGAUAAGUAGACCGCCUGGGGAGUACGGUCGCAAGACUAAAACUCAAAUGAAUUGACGGGGGCCCGCACAAGCGGUGGAGCAUGUGGUUUAAUUCGAUGCAACGCGAAGAACCUUACCUG